RNAcentral lists this ribosomal RNA (505 nucleotides) under uncultured bacterium. RNAcentral's name for it is "partial 16S ribosomal RNA". It matches the Rfam family "Bacterial small subunit ribosomal RNA", at positions 28 to 507 of the family's 1533-position model. The record is from RNAcentral.
GACGAACGCUGGCGGCGUGCCUAAUACAUGCAAGUAGAACGCACAGUUUAUACCGUAGCUUGCUACACCAUAGACUGUGAGUUGCGAACGGGUGAGUAACGCGUAGGUAACCUGCCUGGUAGCGGGGGAUAACUAUUGGAAACGAUAGCUAAUACCGCAUAAUAUUAAUUAUUGCAUGAUAAUUAAUUGAAAGGUGCAAUUGCACCACUACCAGAUGGACCUGCGUUGUAUUAGCUAGUAGGUGAGGUAACGGCUCACCUAGGCGACGAUACAUAGCCGACCUGAGAGGGUGAGCGGCCACACUGGGACUGAGACACGGCCCAGACUCCUACGGGAGGCAGCAGUAGGGAAUCUUCGGCAAUGGACGAAAGUCUGACCGAGCAACGCCGCGUGAGUGAAGAAGGUUUUCGGAUCGUAAAGCUCUGUUGUAAGAGAAGAACGGGUGUGAGAGUGGAAAGUUCACACUGUGACGGUAUCUGACCAGAAAGGGACGGCUAACUACGUG